This 1242-nucleotide long non-coding RNA is filed under the name Apteryx haastii (Great spotted kiwi). Its description in RNAcentral is "lncRNA (ENSAHAG00000010040.1)". The record is from RNAcentral. Lineage: Eukaryota; Metazoa; Chordata; Aves; Apterygiformes; Apterygidae.
AUGCAGGCGCACAGAGAAAAGCCAUUACGGCCCGCGCCGGGGCAUGUUUCUCUGAGAACAGUUCCGCUUGAGGAAGAAGUCCGGCGAAAGUUAAAUUUCACACAUUUCAGAGGCUGCCCAAGCAAGGCCGGGCUCCCUGAAAGCCGCCUUUGUCCGCGCCGCCGCCGCUGCCGCCCCCGCGCACGGAGCAUCCCGGGGCCGCGGGAGCGGAGCGGAGCAGAGCGGAGCAGAGCAUCACCCCGUGUGGGGUGCUGCGGGAUGGUGGCCGGAGCUGCCGGUGGGACCCUGUGGCCGCAUCCCCCCGAGCACACCGCACGGGCCCACGGGAAAAGCCGGGUGCUGGCCGCGUCCCGGGAACCAGCCGGCACCGGGGCCGGCACCGGCUGGGAUUCGGGUGAAAGAGCAGGGAGAAGGGGCAGCCCGCGCUGCCGGCGGGGCCGGGGUUUCGGCGUGCCGGCGGCGCUGAGCCCUGAGUCACGGCGCCGCUUCCGGCAGCGCCGCCAGGUCUCCCCGGCCGGUGUUUACCGAGCCCAACCCCGCCGGCUCGGAGAUCGCCCGCUCGCAGGCRGCGCGGUGGCAGCAGCAAGGGCGGCCACGAGCGAGCAAAGCGGCUCCUGCGACCCCGGCGCCGGCGCUGUGCCGAGCGGGCCGGCGCUCGAGCAAGAUGCGGCAAGUUUUCCCAUCCAACAGGGCCGCUUUUACGAGCAAAAUUUCAAGCUUCGCAUAGUUCCCCGCCCCUCGCGGYGCAAACGGUCUCUCCUGCCCCGAGGACGGGGGCGAGCGGCAGCGCCGAGCGCCGGGGACGUGCCAGGCUCCCGGCCCUUCCCGGGGCUCCCGGCUCCUGCCCGCCCGCGUCCUUCGCCAAAACCAGCCGGCUCCUGCUCCUUAGCGAUUGCCAACGGCUCGAGUUUGCGCGUUGCCACUGGGCUGUCCAGGAAAGCUGCUGGACUGAAGAAACACCAGGACGUCCAGACCGAAGUGCCGCUCUCGCGGCCGYGGGGAGCCCGGCGGGUCGCCGGAUCCGCAGGGGGGAGCACCGGGCCGGCGGAGGGGCCCGGAGAGCCCCGGGUGCCGGAGGGAGGCGCCGUGCGGGCUCCCGGUGCCGGCUCCCGGUGCCGGUGGGUGAUCCAUCAGCGGCAGCCCCAGAGGGAGGUUGCUGAGGGCACUGGGGGGAUGAGGGAAGGAGACAGGAUAAAAAUCACCGCGCUAGCGGGGCCRAGGGAGGGAGCGCCGGGAAGAUAG